UACGAAGGGGGCUAGCGUUGUUCGGAAUUACUGGGCGUAAAGCGCACGUAGGCGGAUUGUUAAGUUAGGGGUGAAAUCCCAGGGCUCAACCCUGGAACUGCCUUUAAUACUGGCAAUCUCGAGUCCGAGAGAGGUGAGUGGAAUUCCGAGUGUAGAGGUGAAAUUCGUAGAUAUCAGGAGGAACACCAAUAGCGAAGGCAGCUCGCUGGGACGUUACUGACACUAAGGCGCGAAAGCGUGGGGAGCGAACAGG
This 253-nucleotide ribosomal RNA is filed under the name uncultured bacterium. Its description in RNAcentral is "partial 16S ribosomal RNA". It matches the Rfam family "Bacterial small subunit ribosomal RNA", at positions 524 to 776 of the family's 1533-position model. The record is from RNAcentral.